UUGGUUGUGGAUCUGUUGUUGCUUGAGGCAAUGGAACAGCAAUCACAGCAGGAUUUGAUGGAACAGUAGGAGCGACCAUCUGUAGAGUGGUAACAGCUUUUGGGACUACAUCACUCGCAUAAAUUGGGACUACUUCUUUUCUUGGGCGACCUCUCCUCCUUGCCAUAACAAUCUCUGCUUAAAUUUACUUACCUAAGCAGAUGCAGUGGAAAAGAAGGUGAUGAAACCGGGAAGAAGAUGAUGAGAAAUUUAGAGAGAAGGCAGAGCUUCUCUCUCUUCCAUUACUGUACCCCGAAUGAAUAUGUUGUUCAAUAAUAAUACUUAAAACUUCAUUU
This 335-nucleotide long non-coding RNA is filed under the name Nicotiana benthamiana. Its description in RNAcentral is "long non-coding RNA (NBEN_LNC039342)". The record is from RNAcentral. Lineage: Eukaryota; Viridiplantae; Streptophyta; Magnoliopsida; Solanales; Solanaceae.